RNAcentral lists this ribosomal RNA (490 nucleotides) under uncultured bacterium. Its description in RNAcentral is "partial 16S ribosomal RNA". It matches the Rfam family "Bacterial small subunit ribosomal RNA", at positions 30 to 507 of the family's 1533-position model. The record is from RNAcentral.
AUUGAACGCUGGCGGCAGGCCUAACACAUGCAAGUCGAACGGUAACAGGAAGAAGCUUGCUUCUUUGCUGACGAGUGGCGGACGGGUGAGUAAUGUCUGGGAAACUGCCUGAUGGAGGGGGAUAACUACUGGAAACGGUAGCUAAUACCGCAUAACGUCGCAAGACCAAAGAGGGGGACAUUCGGGCCCCUUGCCCUCGGAUGUGCCCAGAUGGGAUUAGCUAGUAGGUGGGGUAACGGCGCACCUAGGCGACGAUCCCUAGCUGGUCUGAGAGGAUGACCAGCCACACUGGAACUGAGACACGGUCCAGACUCCUACGGGAGGCAGCAGUGGGGAAUAUUGCACAAUGGGCGCAAGCCUGAUGCAGCCAUGCCGCGUGUAUGAAGAAGGCCUUCGGGUUGUAAAGUACUUUCAGCGGGGAGGAAGGGAGUAAAGUUAAUACCUUUGCUCAUUGACGUUACCCGCAGAAGAAGCACCGGCUAACUCCGUG